GACGUAGCAUGCAAGCGUUGUCCGGAUUUAUUGGGCGUAAAGAGUUCGUAGGUGGUUCGUUAAGUCUGAUGUUAAAGACUGGGGCUCAACCCUGGAAGUGCAUUGGAUACUGGCGGACUUGAGUGUGGUAGAGGCAAUCGGAAUUCCAGGUGUAGCGGUGAAAUGCGUAGAUAUCUGGAAGAACACCGGUGGCGCAAGCGGAUUGCUGGGCCAUAACUGACACUGAGGAACGAAAGCUAGGGGAGCGAACAGG
Molecule: ribosomal RNA, 253 nt
Filed under: uncultured bacterium
Lineage: Bacteria
Description: partial 16S ribosomal RNA
Rfam family: Bacterial small subunit ribosomal RNA
Source: RNAcentral